Molecule: ribosomal RNA, 500 nt
Filed under: Pseudomonas sp. WH50
Lineage: Bacteria; Pseudomonadati; Pseudomonadota; Gammaproteobacteria; Pseudomonadales; Pseudomonadaceae
Description: bacterial SSU rRNA
Rfam family: Bacterial small subunit ribosomal RNA
Source: RNAcentral
AUGAUUCAGCGGCGGACGGGUGAGUAAUGCCUAGGAAUCUGCCUGGUAGUGGGGGACAACGUUUCGAAAGGAACGCUAAUACCGCAUACGUCCUACGGGAGAAAGUGGGGGAUCUUCGGACCUCACGCUAUCAGAUGAGCCUAGGUCGGAUUAGCUAGUUGGUGAGGUAAAGGCUCACCAAGGCGACGAUCCGUAACUGGUCUGAGAGGAUGAUCAGUCACACUGGAACUGAGACACGGUCCAGACUCCUACGGGAGGCAGCAGUGGGGAAUAUUGGACAAUGGGCGAAAGCCUGAUCCAGCCAUGCCGCGUGUGUGAAGAAGGUCUUCGGAUUGUAAAGCACUUUAAGUUGGGAGGAAGGGCAGUAAGUUAAUACCUUGCUGUUUUGACGUUACCAACAGAAUAAGCACCGGCUAACUUCGUGCCAGCAGCCGCGGUAAUACGAAGGGUGCAAGCGUUAAUCGGAAUUACUGGGCGUAAAGCGCGCGUAGGUGGUUCGU